UAAUAUGUACAUUCCUACAUUGUUAAUGCACUCGAUCCCAUUAGAACUCCAUAGUUAAGAGUGCAUGGGCUAGAGUAGUAUUGGUAUGGGUGACCUCCUAGGAAGUCUUAAUGCUUUACAUGCC
Molecule: non-coding RNA, 124 nt
Organism: Picea glauca (white spruce)
Lineage: Eukaryota; Viridiplantae; Streptophyta; Pinopsida; Pinales; Pinaceae
Source: Rfam